GUUUGUCAUCCUUCCUUUUUAAUUUUCCUCCUCUUCUCGGAGUGAAGGCCUUCCCCAACUUUUCGCGGGGUUGCAUAGGAGCGAGGAGGUGCCAAUGAGGGGCUUUUUCUUUUCACCCGAUCUUGUUGGGCGGCCGGGCUUCGCCACCAUCAGCUCUUGCUGCAGAUGUCAUGGGUGGAACCCGGCUCCCGUAGGAGUCCGGGUGGAAUCUUUCUUGGCGUCGUGGACGGAGCCCGGCUCCCGUAGGAGUCCGGGUGAAGUCUUCCUUGGCGUCGCGGAUGGAAUUUGGCUCCCGUAGGAGUCCGGGUGAAGUCUUCCUUGGCGUCGUGGAUGGAACCUGGCUCCCGUAGGAGUCCGGGUGAAGUCUUCCUUGGCGUCGUGGAUGAAAUCCGGCUCCCGUAGGAGUCUGGGUUAAGUCUUCCUUGGCGUCGUGGACGGAACCCAGCUCCCGUAGGAGUCCGGGUGAAGUCUUCCUUGGCACC
Molecule: long non-coding RNA, 482 nt
Filed under: Elaeis guineensis (African oil palm)
Lineage: Eukaryota; Viridiplantae; Streptophyta; Magnoliopsida; Arecales; Arecaceae
Description: long non-coding RNA (EGUI_LNC052412)
Source: RNAcentral